AGGGCGCACGGUGGAUGCCUUGGCACUAGAAGCCGAAGAAGGACGUGACUAACGACGAAAUGCUUUGGGGAGCUGUAAGUAAGCGCUGAUCCAGAGAUGUCCGAAUGGGGGAACCCACUAGUUAAUGACUAGUAUCCAUAUCUGUUAAGGAUAUGAGAAGGAAGACGCAGUGAACUGAAACAUCUAAGUAGCUGCAGGAAGAGAAAGCAAAAGCGAUUGCCUUAGUAGCGGCGAGCGAAACGGCAGGAGGGCAAACCGAAGUGUUUACACUUCGGGGUUGUAGGACUGCGAUAUAGGAUUAAUCAUUAUAGAAGAAUUACCUGGGAAGGUAAGCCAAAGAGAGUAACAGCCUCGUAUUUAAAAUGAUAGAUUAACCUUAGCAGUAUCCUGAGUACGGCGAGACACGCGAAAUCUCGUCGGAAUCUGGGAGGACCAUCUCCCAACCCUAAAUACUCUCUAGUGACCGAUAGUGAACCAGUACCGUGAGGGAAAGGUGAAAAGCACCCCGGGAGGGGAGUGAAAUAGAACCUGAAACCGUGUGCCUACAACAAGUUCGAGCCCGUUAAUGGGUGAGAGCGUGCCUUUUGUAGAAUGAACCGGCGAGUUACGAUAUGAUGCGAGGUUAAGUUGAAGAGACGGAGCCGUAGGGAAACCGAGUCUUAAUAGGGCGCCAUAGUAUCAUGUUGUAGACCCGAAACCAUGUGACCUACCCAUGAGCAGGUUGAAGGUGAGGUAAAACUCACUGGAGGACCGAACCAGGGCACGUUGAAAAGUGCUUGGAUGACUUGUGGGUAGCGGAGAAAUUCCAAACGAACUUGGAGAUAGCUGGUUCUCUCCGAAAUAGCUUUAGGGCUAGCGUCGAUGUUAAGUCUCUUGGAGGUAGAGCACUGUUUGGGUGAGGGGUCCAUCCCGGAUUACCAAUCUCAGAUAAACUCCGAAUGCCAACGAGAUAUAAUCGGCAGUCAGACUGCGAGUGCUAAGAUCCGUAGUCGAAAGGGAAACAGCCCAGACCACCAGCUAAGGUCCCAAAAUAUAUGUUAAGUGGAAAAGGAUGUGGGGUUGCACAGACAACUAGGAUGUUAGCUUAGAAGCAGCUAUUCAUUCAAAGAGUGCGUAAUAGCUCACUAGUCGAGUGACCCUGCGCCGAAAAUGUACCGGGGCUAAAACAUAUUACCGAAGCUGUGGAUGACACAAAAGUGUCAUGGUAGGAGAGCGUUCUAUGUGUGAAGAAGGUGUACCGUGAGGAGCGCUGGAACGCAUAGAAGUGAGAAUGCCGGUAUGAGUAGCGCAAGACAGGUGAGAAUCCUGUCCACCGUAAGACUAAGGUUUCCAGGGGAAGGCUCGUCCGCCCUGGGUUAGUCGGGACCUAAGGAGAGACCGAAAGGUGUAUCCGAUGGACAACAGGUUGAUAUUCCUGUACUAGAGUAUAUAGUGAUGGAGGGACGCAGUAGGCUAACUAAACCAGACGAUUGGAAGUGUCUGGUCAAACAGUGAGGUGUGAUAUGAGUCAAAUGCUUAUAUCUUUAACAUUGAGCUGUGACGAGGAGCGAAGUUUAGUAGCGAAGUUAGUGAUGUCACACUGCCAAGAAAAGCUUCUAGCGAUACAUAUACUCUACCCGUACCGCAAACCGACACAGGUAGUCGAGGCGAGUAGCCUCAGGUGAGCGAGAGAACUCUCGUUAAGGAACUCGGCAAAAUGGCCCCGUAACUUCGGGAGAAGGGGCGCUGAUUUUAGAUCAGCCGCAGUGAAUAGGCCCAAGCAACUGUUUAUCAAAAACACAGCUCUCUGCUAAAUCGUAAGAUGAUGUAUAGGGGGUGACGCCUGCCCGGUGCUGGAAGGUUAAGAGGAGUGCUUAGCGUAAGCGAAGGUAUGAAUUGAAGCCCCAGUAAACGGCGGCCGUAACUAUAACGGUCCUAAGGUAGCGAAAUUCCUUGUCGGGUAAGUUCCGACCCGCACGAAAGGCGUAAUGAUUUGGGCACUGUCUCAACGAGAGACUCGGUGAAAUUUUAGUACCUGUGAAGAUGCAGGUUACCCGCGACAGGACGGAAAGACCCCAUGGAGCUUUACUGCAGUUUGAUAUUGAGUAUCUGUACCACAUGUACAGGAUAGGUAGGAGCCUAUGAUAACGGGACGCCAGUUUCGUUUGAGGCGUUGUUGGGAUACUACCCUUGUGUUAUGGCUACUCUAACCCAGAUAGGCAAUCCCUAUCGGAGACAGUGUCUGACGGGCAGUUUGACUGGGGCGGUCGCCUCCUAAAAGG
Molecule: ribosomal RNA, 2261 nt
Filed under: Streptococcus agalactiae
Lineage: Bacteria; Bacillati; Bacillota; Bacilli; Lactobacillales; Streptococcaceae
Description: bacterial LSU rRNA
Rfam family: Bacterial large subunit ribosomal RNA
Source: RNAcentral